GACGAACGCUGGCGGCGUGCUUAACACAUGCAAGUCGAACGGAAAGGCCCUGCUUUUGUGGGGUGCUCGAGUGGCGAACGGGUGAGUAACACGUGAGUAACCUGCCCUUGACUUUGGGAUAACUUCAGGAAACUGGGGCUAAUACCGGAUAGGAGCUCCUGCUGCAUGGUGGGGGUUGGAAAGUUUCGGCGGUUGGGGAUGGACUCGCGGGGUAUCAGCUUGUUGGUGGGGUAGUGGCUUACCAAGGCUUUGACGGGUAGCCGGCCUGAGAGGGUGACCGGCCACAUUGGGACUGAGAUACGGCCCAGACUCCUACGGGAGGCAGCAGUGGGGAAUAUUGCACAAUGGGCGGAAGCCUGAUGCAGCAACGCCGCGUGCGGGAUGACGGCCUUCGGGUUGUAAACCGCUUUCGCCUGUGACGAAGCGUGAGUGACGGUAAUGGGUAAAGAAGCACCGGCUAACUACGUG
Molecule: ribosomal RNA, 468 nt
Filed under: uncultured bacterium
Lineage: Bacteria
Description: partial 16S ribosomal RNA
Rfam family: Bacterial small subunit ribosomal RNA
Source: RNAcentral